This 572-nucleotide ribosomal RNA is filed under the name Salmonella enterica subsp. enterica serovar Muenster. RNAcentral describes it as "partial 23S ribosomal RNA". It matches the Rfam family "Bacterial large subunit ribosomal RNA", at positions 1 to 603 of the family's 2925-position model. Lineage: Bacteria; Pseudomonadati; Pseudomonadota; Gammaproteobacteria; Enterobacterales; Enterobacteriaceae. The record is from RNAcentral.
GGGUUGUGAGGUUAAGCGACUAAGCGUACACGGUGGAUGCCCUGGCAGUCAGAGGCGAUGAAGGGCGUGCUAAUCUGCGAUAAGCGCCGGUAAGGUGAUAUGAACCGUUAUAACCGGCGAUACCCGAAUGGGGAAACCCAGUGUGACUCGUCACACUAUCAUUAACUGAAUCCAUAGGUUAAUGAGGCGAACCGGGGGAACUGAAACAUCUAAGUACCCCGAGGAAAAGAAAUCAACCGAGAUUCCCCCAGUAGCGGCGAGCGAACGGGGAGGAGCCCAGAGCCUGAAUCAGCAUGUGUGUUAGUGGAAGCGUCUGGAAAGGCGCGCGAUACAGGGUGACAGCCCCGUACACAAAAGCGCAUGUGCUGUGAGCUCGAUGAGUAGGGCGGGACACGUGGUAUCCUGUCUGAAUAUGGGGGGACCAUCCUCCAAGGCUAAAUACUCCUGACUGACCGAUAGUGAACCAGUACCGUGAGGGAAAGGCGAAAAGAACCCCGGCGAGGGGAGUGAAAAAGAACCUGAAACCGUGUACGUACAAGCAGUGGGAGCACCCUUUGGGGUGUGACUGCGUA